AACGAACGCUGGCGGCAUGCCUAACACAUGCAAGUCGAACGAGACCUUCGGGUCUAGUGGCGCACGGGUGCGUAACGCGUGGGAACCUGCCCUCAGGUUCGGAAUAACUCCCCGAAAGGGGUGCUAAUACCGGAUAAUGUCUUCGGACCAAUGAUUUAUCGCCCUUGGAUGGGCCCGCGUUGGAUUAGCUGGUUGGUAGGGUAAAAGCCUACCAAGGCGACGCUCCAUAGCUGGUCUGAGAGGAUGAUCAGCCACACUGGGACUGAGACCCGGCCCAGACGCCUACGGGAGGUAGCAGUGGGGAAUAUUGUACAAUGGGCGAGGGCCUGAUCCAGCAGUACCGCGUGAGUGAUGCAGGUCUUAGGGUUGUAAAGCUCUUUUACCCGGGAUGAUAAUGACGGUACCGGGAGAAUAAGCUCCGGCUAACUCCGUG
Molecule: ribosomal RNA, 433 nt
Filed under: uncultured bacterium
Lineage: Bacteria
Description: partial 16S ribosomal RNA
Rfam family: Bacterial small subunit ribosomal RNA
Source: RNAcentral